RNAcentral lists this ribosomal RNA (251 nucleotides) under uncultured bacterium. Its description in RNAcentral is "partial 16S ribosomal RNA". It matches the Rfam family "Bacterial small subunit ribosomal RNA", at positions 88 to 339 of the family's 1533-position model. The record is from RNAcentral.
GGGGAAACCGGCGAACGGGUGAGUAACACGUGAGGAACCUGCCCUGUACACCGGGAUAACUACGGGAAACCGUGGCUAAUACCGGAUGCUCCACCUUGAUCGCAUGAUCGGGGUGGGAAAGCUCAGGCGGUACAGGAGGGCCUCGCGGCGUAUCAGCUAGUUGGUGAGGUAAAGGCUCACCAAGGCGACGAUCCGUAGCUGGUCUGAGAGGACGAUCAGCCACACUGGGACUGAGACACGGCCCAGACUCC